UUGAACAAGAUGUUCAAGGGUUUAAAGGUUCAUUGUAGGCCAAAUAUCAUCGGGAUCUAUGUCAUCAAUGUCAUUGGAAACCUGUAAAGGUAUCAAAGAUUGCAUCAGGUUUAGAUAUUCGGCACUAACCGUGUCACCAGUGCCAAUGCAUCUAAAUCCAGUUCUAACAAAGUACCAGUGCACCAGAGUUAUCAAUACGUCAUCUUUCUUAUUUAUUUGAUUCUCCACAGAUUUGUAGAGUAAUUCAAAGCCAAAAAUAUUAGAUGGAUCAGCUGCCAUGAUUUUUCUCUUGAGG
Long non-coding RNA from Neodiprion fabricii, 295 nucleotides. RefSeq lists it as uncharacterized. NCBI's taxonomy places the organism in Eukaryota, Metazoa, Arthropoda, Insecta, Hymenoptera, Diprionidae. The record is from RefSeq and is a predicted model, not a curated record. The transcript has 2 exons.